RNAcentral lists this long non-coding RNA (1558 nucleotides) under Panax ginseng (ginseng). RNAcentral describes it as "long non-coding RNA (PGIN_LNC016433)". The record is from RNAcentral. Lineage: Eukaryota; Viridiplantae; Streptophyta; Magnoliopsida; Apiales; Araliaceae.
UUUUUUAGGAAUCUCAUUCCACUAACAUGAUUAAUGUAUAUUGGUUUCUGGCUUUUCUCUGCUAAUAUAUUAACAUCAUAAAUUGCCUGAGGAUUUUAUAGAGUGAUUACAAUUUAAACAUUCUAGUAAUUGAGGAGCUCAGUAAGAUCUUUACAUUUAAACAUUUAGACAAGUAGUAUUCUCAUUUUGGAGAGGUAUUCAGUAAGCUCUUUAAAUCGAAAAUUACAAAAUUUCAAAAAUCUUCACACCAGUUACAAAAGUAAAGAUUGCAAUCACAUUGCAUUUCCACUAAAAUUAAUACUGAGCUUGAAAACCUUCAGUUCGUUAACAUUUAUAGUCCUUUUAUUGUUAAACAGGCAAAAAAGGACAGUUAUCAACUGUACAUUGAAACCAUCUGAAACUUUGAUCCUCAUCUCACAAGCUGUGAAAAAGAAACAAAGAUGUGCCAAAGGCAAGUGAAGGAUAAGAAAAUUACCCACCUCUUCCUGCAAAGGAAGUAAAUCAUCAUAAAAUUAGACAAACCAUUGAACCUUAACUAUGAAAUAAUUAUAAAAGAAACUACAAACUAUUAAACUUUACUAUGAUUUGAAAAUUCCUUUUCUACAUAUAAAAAGUUACAACUUUACUAUGAUUUGAAAAUCAAGCAUGUAGUUCACAGUCCACAAAAAAACAAAAAAUUAAAUAAAUAAAUAAACUAAGAAAUUAGGGCUAAUUCCCAUAUGCAAAAAUUCCCACAUUGAAUAACAAAACGAAACUGAAUUCUAGUUAACUCUUAAUGAAAUUGAAAAUAUUUGUUUAAAAUAUCAAUUAUUUGUUUCUUUUUUUGAUACUAAUAAUAGCAAAACUAUAAUCCAGUCUUAAAAAAACAGAAUAUAACACAUGAGUUACAAACAUCCAUUGCCCUUUCCAAAUUACAUAUCAAUAACCCCCCACCCCUGUUCUCCACUGCCCCAAUCUUGUUUCCUCAAGGCUUCAAUUUUACACACACAUACAAAAUGAAAAGCAAAUUACAGUUCAUUUCACUAAACUCAAUUGGAAAAAUUCAAGGGCGAACUUUCCAAUCAACCAAAAGCUUCAACCAAGAGAAAGCAAAAAUUACACUCUAAUGGCAGAACAAUUAAAAACACUCACCCAAAAAACUAUAUACAAGGUACAUGUAAAUACAGAUAUCAAAUUGGCAAACAAAAGAUGGGGCAUAGAGGGUUUUACCUUAGCAGAUCGGUGAAGAAAAUUGAGAGAUCGGACGAAUUUAGGAGAGUAAAUAGUUAAGCUCACCGAAUCGAAGUCGAGACGCCCAGAUCCGGGCGUUUGUCAACCAAGAGAUCAGAUAAAAUUUUCGAACUAGGGGAGUUUGUCAACAAAAAGAGUAAACGAUAGAGUGAAUCGGAGGAGGGGGUUGGUUUGGCUGAUAACAUGUGACGAGAGAGAAGAAACGAGGGGGAUUGUAUUGAAUUUGGGAGGAGAGUUUAGGAGAAGUCUCAGAGCGUGAAUCUGCUAAGCGAGCGAGGAGAGAGAAAUUAAAAAUAAGGCAUUUAAAUAGUUAUGUUCUUUAACAAAG